RNAcentral lists this ribosomal RNA (982 nucleotides) under Synechocystis aquatilis. RNAcentral's name for it is "bacterial SSU rRNA". It matches the Rfam family "Bacterial small subunit ribosomal RNA", at positions 38 to 1061 of the family's 1533-position model. Lineage: Bacteria; Bacillati; Cyanobacteriota; Cyanophyceae; Synechococcales; Merismopediaceae. The record is from RNAcentral.
AAGGGGGUGCUUAAAUGCAGUCGAACGGUGUCUUCGGACACAGUGGCGGACGGGUGAGUAACGCGUGAGAAUCUACCUUCGGUCGGGGAUAACCCCUGGAAACGGGGGCUAAUACCGGAUAAGUCGAAAGAUGAAAGGUUAACUGCCUGAAGAGGAGCUCGCGUCUGAUUAGCUAGUAGGUGUGGUAAGAGCGCACCUGGGCGACGAUCACUACCUGGUCUGAGAGGAUGAGCAGCCACACUGGGACUGAGACACGGCCCAUACUCCUACGGGAGGCACCAUUGGGGAAUUUUCCGCAAUGGGCGAAAGCCUGACGGAGCAAGACCGCGUGGGGGAGGAAGGCCUUUGGGUUGUAAACCCCUUUUGUUAGGGAAGAAAAAAAUGACGGUACCUAACGAAUCAACCUCGGCUAACUCCGUGCCAACAUCCGCGGUAAUACCGAGGAGGCAAGCGUUAUCCGGAAUUAUUGGGCGUAAAGCGUCCGUAGGUGGCCCGGCAAGUCUGCUGUCAAAGACCACACCUCAACUGUGGAAAGGCAUUGGAAACUGCAAGGCUAAAUUGCGGGAGGGGUAGAGGGAAUUCCCAGUGUAAUUGUGAAAUGCGUAGAGAUUGGGAAAAACACCGGUGGGAAAAGCGCUCUACUGGGCCGCAACUGACACUGAUGGACGAAAGCUAGGGGGAGCGAAUGGGGAUUAGAUACCCCGAGUAGUCCUAGCUGUAAACGAUGGAAACUAGGUGUAGCAGCGUAUCGACCCGUGCUGUAUCGGGAGCUAACACGUUACGUUUCCCGCCUGGGGAGUACGCACGCAAGUGUGAAACUCAAAGGAUUUGACGGGGGGCCCGCACAAGCGGUGGAGUGUGUGUUUUAUUUUUAUGCUCCGCGAAAAACCUUUAACACGGUCUUGACUUGUUGGAUUCUAGGAGAAGCUAAAGUGUCUUCUGGAGCACGAAACACAGUGGUGCAUGGGCUUGUCAUUCACUU